CGCGGCCUAUCAGCUUGUUGGUGGGGUAAUGGCCUACCAAGGCGACGACGGGUAGCCGGCCUGAGAGGGCGACCGGCCACACUGGGACUGAGACACGGCCCAGACUCCUACGGGAGGCAGCAGUGGGGAAUAUUGCGCAAUGGGCGAAAGCCUGACGCAGCGACGCCGCGUGAGGGAUGAAGGCCUUCGGGUUGUAAACCUCUUUCAGCAGGGACGAAGCGUAAGUGACGGUACCUGCAGAAGAAGCGCCGGCUAACUACGUGCCAGCAGCCGCGGUAAUACGUAGGGCGCAAGCGUUGUCCGGAAUUAUUGGGCGUAAAGAGCUCGUAGGCGGUUUGUCGCGUCUGUCGUGAAAGCCCACAGCUUAACUGUGGGUCUGCGGUGGAUACGGGCAGACUAGAGGCAGGUAGGGGAGAACGGAAUUCCCGGUGUAGCGGUGAAAUGCGCAGAUAUCGGGAGGAACACCGGUGGCGAAGGCGGUUCUCUGGGCCUGUACUGACGCUGAGGAGCGAAAGCGUGGGGAGCGAACAGGAUUAGAUACCCUGGUAGUCCACGCCGUAAACGUUGGGCGCUAGGUGUGGGGUCCUUCCACGGAUUCCGCGCCGCAGCUAACGCAUUAAGCGCCCCGCCUGGGGAGUACG
This 641-nucleotide ribosomal RNA is filed under the name uncultured bacterium. RNAcentral's name for it is "bacterial SSU rRNA". It matches the Rfam family "Bacterial small subunit ribosomal RNA", at positions 232 to 884 of the family's 1533-position model. The record is from RNAcentral.